UAAAAACUGCAUGGUAUUGGUACAGAGACAGACAGAUAGACCAAUGGAAUAGAAUUGAAGACCCAGAAAUGAACCCACACACCUAUGGUCACUUGAUUUUUGACAAAGGAGCCAAAACCAUCCAAUGGAAAAAAGCAUUUUCAGCAAAUGGUGCUGGUUCAACUGGAGGUCAGCAUGUAGAAGAAUGCAGAUCGAUCCAUGCUUAUCACCCUGUACAAAGCUUAAGUCCAAGUGGAUCAAGGACCUCCACAUCAAACCAGAUACACUCAAACUAAUAGAAGAAAAAGUGGAGAAGCAUCUCGAACACAUGGGCACUGGAGAAAAUUUCCUGAACAAAACACCAAGGCUUAUGCUCUAAGAUCAAGAAUCGACAAAUGGGAUCUCAUAAAACUGCAAAGCUUCUGUAAGGCAAAGGACACUGUGGUUAGGACAAAACGGCAACCAACAGAUUGGGAAAAGAUCUUUACCAAUCCUACAACUGAUAGAGGGCUUAUAUCCAAAAUAUACAAAGAACUCAAGAAGUUAGACCGCAGGGAGCCAAAUAACCCUAUUAAAAAAUGGGGUUCAGAGCUAAACAAAGAAUUCACAGCUGAGGAAUGCCAAAUGGCUGAGAAACACCUAAAGAAAUGUUCAACAUCUUUAGUCAUAAGGGAAAUGCAAAUCAAAACAACCCUGAGAUUUCACCUCACACCAGUGAGAAUGGCUAAGAUCAAAAACUCAGGUGACAGCAAAUGCUGGCGAGGAUGCGGAGAAAGAGGAACACUCCUCCAUUGUUGGUGGGGUUGCAGACUGGUACAACCAUUCUGGAAAUCAGUCUGGAGGUUCCUCAGAAAAUU
This 836-nucleotide long non-coding RNA is filed under the name Rattus norvegicus (Norway rat). Its description in RNAcentral is "long non-coding RNA NONRATT018087". The record is from RNAcentral. Lineage: Eukaryota; Metazoa; Chordata; Mammalia; Rodentia; Muridae.